Molecule: long non-coding RNA, 689 nt
Organism: Oncorhynchus gorbuscha (pink salmon)
Lineage: Eukaryota; Metazoa; Chordata; Actinopteri; Salmoniformes; Salmonidae
Exons: 3
Source: RefSeq, a predicted model, not a curated record
UGAAGGAAAAGCCUAAAGCCCUUACACCCAGUAUAGAACCAGGUGUGUUAGAGCAGGGCUGGCUGAAGGAAAAGCCUAAAGCCCAGACACCCAGUAUAGAACCAGGUGUGUUAGAGCAGGGCUGGCUGAAGGAAAAGCCUAAAGCCCUUACACCCAGUAUAGAACCAGGUGUGUUAGAGCAGGGCUGGCUGAAGGAAAAGCCUAAAGCCCGGACACCCAGUAUAGAACCAGGUGUGUUAGAGCAGGGCUGAAGGAAAAGCCUAAAGCCCAGACACCCAGUAUAGAACCAGGUGUGUUAGAGCAGGGCUGGCUGAAGGAAAAGCCUAAAGCCCUUACACCCAGUAUAGAACCAGGUGUGUUAGAGCAGGGCUGGCUGAAGGAAAAGCCUAAAGCCCAGACACCCAGUAUAGAACCAGGUGUGUUAGAGCAGGGCUGAAGGAAAAGCCUAAAGCCUGGACACCCAGUAUAGAACCAGGUGUGUUAGAGCAGGGCUGAAGGAAAAGCCUAAAGCCCGGACACCCAGUAUAGAACCAGGUGUGUUAGAGCAGGGCUGGCUGAAGGAAAAGCCUAAAGCCCAGACACCCAGUAUCUUUCCACGAGGGUUGGCCACUGCUGAAUUACAAUAUCCAUGUGUGUUGAUAAAGUAGUUGUUUUCACCUGGAUUUCUAGAGUGUAACAUCCUGUGUUUU